AUUGAACGCUGGCGGCAGGCCUAACACAUGCAAGUCGAGCGGGGUUUUCGGACCUAGCGGCGGACGGGUGAGUAAUGCGUAGGAAGCUACCCGAUAGAGGGGGAUACCAGUUGGAAACGACUGUUAAUACCGCAUAAUGUCUACGGACCAAAGUGUGGGACCUUCGGGCCACAUGCUAUCGGAUGCGCCUACGUGGGAUUAGCUAGUUGGUGGGGUAAUGGCUCACCAAGGCGACGAUCCCUAGCUGGUUUGAGAGGAUGAUCAGCCACACUGGAACUGAGACACGGUCCAGACUCCUACGGGAGGCAGCAGUGGGGAAUAUUGGACAAUGGGCGCAAGCCUGAUCCAGCCAUGCCGCGUGUGUGGAGAAGGCCUUCGGGUUGUAAAGCACUUUCAGCGAGGAGGAAGGGGUGAGUGUUAAUAGUACUCAUCUUUGACGUUACUCGCAGAAGAAGCACCGGCUAACUCUGUGCCAGCAGCCGCGGUAAUACAGAGGGUGCAAGCGUUAAUCGGAAUUACUGGGCGUAAAGCGCACGUAGGCGGUUUUUUAAGUCAGAUGUGAAAGCCCCGGGCUCAACCUGGGAAUUGCAUUUGAAACUGGAAAACUAGAGUGUGUGAGAGGGGGGUAGAAUUCCAAGUGUAGCGGUGAAAUGCGUAGAGAUUUGGAGGAAUACCAGUGGCGAAGGCGGCCCCCUGGCACAACACUGACGCUCAGGUGCGAAAGCGAGGGGAGCAAACAGGAUUAGAUACCCUGGUAGUCCACGCCGUAAACGAUGUCUACUAGCUGUUCGUGACCUUGUGUCGUGAGUAGCGCAGCUAACGCAUUAGGUAGACCGCCUGGGGAGUACGGUCGCAAGAUUAAAACUCAAAUGAAUUGACGGGGGCCCGCACAAGCGGUGG
RNAcentral lists this ribosomal RNA (900 nucleotides) under uncultured bacterium. RNAcentral's name for it is "bacterial SSU rRNA". It matches the Rfam family "Bacterial small subunit ribosomal RNA", at positions 28 to 935 of the family's 1533-position model. The record is from RNAcentral.